GCUCGGAUCGUUUUCGCAUGAAUUCUUGUAAGAAGCCGAUUUUCCGCUUGGCAGUCCACGACAACAAUUUCUUUCGAAUCAACUACCAUUUUUGUCCCUUUCAUUGAUCGUUCGAUCGUUUACUGUUCACGCAAAUCUUAUCGAUAUUGAAGUAGUUUGUAGAUAUACAUGUAAGUAGUUCUAUCGACUCAUUCAGCAAUCGCAGCAUUUAUUGCGCUUGCAAUAUCUUGUGAACCUUUUGCGACAUGGAUUUUUCAAAUAUUUUCUCUAUAUUCGACGUUUCAUUGCACUCGCGUUUGAAAAGUUCUUCGAUAAGACCAAUGGGUAACGAGAAUUAUUUUAGAUAGUAUUAUUCUUAUUGGCAAUCUGUACGUAAUAGAGUAUUUACAAUAAUAUUUAGUACAUGAAACCCAUCAUUUACAUUCAAAAUUCUUCAGUCACGUUGAUGAAAAUAUAAAAAUUCGUAAAAAUCCAUAGCGAAUAUAGAACAAACAUUGUCACAGAUAAAGUGUGCAGAUUACACAGAAUUCGUGGCAAUGGUCGCGCUAACCGAAAGUUCUGAGAUUUAAAAUUCCUUCAAGGAAACGCUGUCUCAUCAGCAACCACGAAGCGUGUGUUAAUCGAUACACGUUUCCUUGGCUUCUUUUAGCCAAAUGGAGUAAGAGAUUGAGAGCCACUGAGACCGCUGGCAAAUAAAUAGAUCACCGACGAAGCUCCUUCGAUUGUCAAUGCUCUUCAGAAUUGGAUGAAGAACGAUAGCAGGAAGGAAGGAAGGAAGAGAGGGAGGAAGAGGUGAAGUAAUGCAUUACUGGCAAAGAAGAGGCGGAAAGAGGUGAAACGAGUAUGGUAGACGACACGAUGUCAGGUCGGUUGGACGAUGACGAACGCUCGCUAUCAACUUCCUGCUAGAAUUGAUAUAGAUGCGCGGGCCCUCUGUUCCUACUACGUUAAACGCGACGAAAGGGUCGUUGAUCCGGAUAGUUCAGCAAGUUAUCGCCUUUUUUUCCCCAACGAUCGACGCUGUGUUUCGCGUGGGAAUUCCUGAAAUGUCGGAUCCGAUGGAAACGCCGACGAGUUAUGAAAAAAAAAAAAGGACGGGAUUUUUCUGGCCAAUUCGAGAUCAAUCGAAAGGCGAAACAGGUAGAGAUUGAUAUCGUCGCGAUGAAAAUUGAGGAAAAACCGUCGAGUUGACGAACGCACUGUAUCGUUUCUGGAAUUUCGGCUUUUGAAAUUUCUCGAAGCCUAACGUUGUGUUAGAUAAUACAUUCUGUUUGUUUAAGUAUUCUUAAGUAUUCUUAAGUAUUCUUUCCUUCCUGGAAAGUUAUAAUAAUCGAUGAAAAUUGAGGUAAAAUUGUUCGGUUAAAGAACGUACUUAUUGGAUUUUUUAAGAUUUUUCGGAGUACAAUGGAAUAAAUCGAUUGUCGGGAACGUUAAGAAUACAAGAAUCUUGUAGUAACAGAGAAAAUAAUGGAAAUGCAUGUAUAAAAUGUAAUGAAUGUAAUGGAAUGAAUCGAUUAACAAGAAUCUCAAAAAUAUGUGCUCCGAGAAAUCCAAUAAUAUUUGAGUAACAGAGACAAUAAUAAUAAUAAUACGACCGUGUUUUCCUUUCACUUUUCGGAGAAUAUAGCUUCUCAUCGGUCAAACACGUAAAUACAGGGGUCUAUAAAAUCCUUGGUGAUAAAUAUAACUGGAGUGAAUGAGCUUAUUGAUAACAGAAGAUCACAGGAUGUUCCUCUCUUGUAAAAGCAAUCUCGGAAUCUCUCAUAACAACAUAAACUCAACCAGAAGAAAAAUGUCUUUUCGGAGUACACUUGUGUUUUCAAAAGAAAUUACGCGUUUACACUGCAAGAUAGGAUUAUACGUUCGAUGUAAUUUUUAGCGUUUUUCAAUGAUUUAUUGCUAGGACUAUACUUUGAAACUGAGUUUUGUAUUACAUGCCUGUGUGUAUUAUAGCUAGGCUACGAAUUUUUAUACAUUUAUUGCUGCAGCUAUUUGUUCUUUUUCGUUCAACAACUCAUCGCAUAAAAAUUCG
Bombus impatiens (common eastern bumble bee) is the source of this 2032-nucleotide long non-coding RNA. RefSeq lists it as uncharacterized. The transcript is spliced from 2 exons. The record is from RefSeq and is a predicted model, not a curated record. NCBI's taxonomy places the organism in Eukaryota, Metazoa, Arthropoda, Insecta, Hymenoptera, Apidae.